UACGAGUGAGAACAUACUAAACAAUUUUAAAUGUUCCUUUUAAAAUAAAAUUGCAAUAGGAGACUUGCUUACAGGAAAGAUACAUUGUGUUUACAUAUACUGAUGUUUGCUAUAAUUCUCUAGAUGAAUAGGUAAAUUUUCUAGUGCCAUGUUAGUGUGUGAGAUGAAUAUAUAAUUUACCAGAAUUCAUUUUAAUUUUUACUCUUAAUACCAGCAAUAGUUUUUCAUCAAAAGGAUGGUAGAAUACGAAUUUCAUUUAGAUUGUAUGGGAAAUAUUUUUACAUCUGAUGAAUAAAACUGCCUAGCAGAACAAUUUUACAUAGUUUUAUUGUAGUAUCAAUAGAUAAUUAAGCCCAGUCUUAAAAAUAUGGCAAUUUAUGUAAUUCAUUCCAAAUAAAAUCUUUAAACUAGCAUGUAUAAUGAUGUCUUUUGUCCUUACCCCUAUCCUGGUACAUUUUUAAAGUUUAUGUUCUUGUUCUAUAGUAGCAAUUAUAUUCCAUUAUAACUUUUAAUAGAUGAUGGUUUAGAGUCUUAACGUUUUCCCAUUCUUUCAGUCUCAGUUUUGAAGAGGAAACAACUAUAGAUAAUGUAUAAAUAGUAAGCUGAGGUAUGACUAUUGAUUCUAUCCUCAGCAUAGGAUGUUUAGCCCAUUCUUUUUCUGUUGAAUUCUAGUGGUGCUUAUUAUAACUUGUAAAAAAAAAAAAAAAAAAAGGAAGCAAUGAGAAAAGAAUAAAACAAAGAACAAAAAGAAAACUAAAGAUGCAUUCUGCUGUUUAGGGAGCAGUGUUAGGUAUCUCUCUGAAAGGACUUGAAGGGCAGUGAUGGUAAUGAUGCAUUCAUAAUGACAUGGAGAGACCCUUUCCUUCGAGAUGUCUUGCUAAACUUUGAAUUCAUGACAGUGUAUACCUAAAGUAAUAUUUCUUCUGGCUAUCUGGAAUUUAUUUAUUUACCUAAAAUUUGAAGUCAGAAGAUUUCAAGUACUUAAAAUAUUUUUUUCUUUCUGAAAGAAGGAUACUUUAAAAAUCUUGUCUACAAGUCUGGACUGAUUAAAACAACUCGUUUUCAGGAAUAAUCUUACUACUUUAAAGUUGUUGGUGCCCUUUAAAUUCUUGCUACCCUUUGGCCUCAAAACAGAAAGAUAAAUACUUGAUAAUGUUAUCAUUAGUAAUAAAAAUUAAGGGGAGUGGAAUGGAGGAGAUUAGGUAUUGGAGCACCUUUACUAAGAUUCAGUUAGUGUGGAUUCCUUCAUUAAAAUACCAAAAUGUGUAAAGCAGUAUUGUUUCCUAUCAAAGUCUUAAAGGUGUUCAAAUGUCACGUGGGCUCUUAAAAGAGUAAAGACUCUGUGGGCUGUAUGCCUAGCCCUAUACGCUGUUCAGGGAAGAAUGUCUACACACAGUCAGAAACUCUGCCCACGGGCUCAUUGUUCUAACUGGUAGAUGUUUAUUGUAAACUCUGGAAGGAGAAGGUAUGUGCUGCCUUCAGGAUACAGUUGCUGUGCUGUCCUAUACAUUUUCAAUUUUAUUUCAUUUUUAAAAAGUAACUUUAUAUACUAGAUAUUGAAGCAAUAUGUUUUUAAUGUAUUAGUGAAACAGCUUUCAAGAUGAGUGAUUAAAUAUAGACAGAAAUAAUCUUGUAAAAAUUAAUCCCUCUUAAAUCAGUUUAUCAAAAUGGAGGCCUGAUUGGGAGAGUGGUGUGUUGGUAGUUAUAUUUAGUUGUUUUUUUUGUGCUUUAAAAAUUUUAUUAGUGGUCAUCUAUAAUUGCCUCCCUAUUUACAAAGUAGCAUCUUUUUACUCAAUCUCAGCCAAAUUAAGGCCUAAUAAGAGACAGUCUAGGGUGGUGGCUAAAAGCAUGGCCUUUCAGUAGCUCUGUGACCUAGAAUUGUAAAUGUACUUCAUAGCCAUGUUAUAAAGAUGGAAUACAGUGCAUAGAAAGCUCUUAGCUCAAUGCCUGGCACAUAAUAAAUGCUCAGGAUAUUGGCUGCUAUCACUAUUAUUGAUGUUGCUGCUUUGUAAUUUGUUUAAAUUUUAAAAAGAAAGAUCCAUGUUUUCCUGAAUAGAAAAAGUGUCUUUCGAAAUGAAUAGAAGACAUGACAUUAUUAGGAAUUCAAUUCUGGUGUUUUCUAAUACAUUAAGUUUUGCCGCCUUAAUGUAUUAGAAAUCAUAUUUUAUGUAACAAAGUAGUAGCUUUACAAACACUCUAGGUAAUUUUAAGAUCACAUACUUUCUACUAUAUUUGGAAUUUACAGAGUAAUGAGAAUGCCCUCAAAGUGGCUUCAUGCCUCUCCGAUUUGCUAAAAUAUUUUAAUAUUUUUCCUCUAAUCUGUUUCUCAAGAGGCACUAUGACCUGAGUUGAAAGCGUGACCAGAUGCUUCCAUUUACCAGUGGUUUGAUUUUGGGCAAGUGGCUUAAUUUGUAGGGAUUUAGAUUUCAUUAUUUUUAACCUGUAGGGUCUGAGGCUAAAUGGUUUCUAAGGUUUCUUUCAAUUCUAAAAAUCUGUUUCCAAAAAAUAAUUCCUCAGUUUUCCAGGUGGCACAACUCACCCUUAUCUGCUAAUGAAGAAAUAAUACACAACAGUAGAUUCAUAGCUCAUGGCAAUAUGGCUUUCUAGUCUAUUGAAGAGUGUUAUAUGGCUGAAGACCUUCAGAAAAUUUAUGUCCUUUCAUGAUCUGCAGAAUUGGUCAUUUGUGUUUUCUUUUUUGAGAAGAACAGAGUGUGCCCAGGACAGCAAAUUUGGCGUUCUGGGUUUAUUUAGUGCAUUUGGGAAAUUGAAGAAAUCACUGCACAUUUGGCUCUUUGUGCUAUUGAAUGAGCUAGAUUUGAUGUCAGAAAAGCCAUAAGCAGCGCAGUCCUUGCACUCUUGUUGAUAAACAUGUCCCCAGAUAUUGAUGAGAGGUUUAUGAUUUUUAGACAGAAAUCAUAUACCUGCAUUUCAGGUCAUGCUGUCACAAAUUCAUCCUAAAGAGUUAUAGAUCUACUGAUACUCCAUGCCACCUUCUAAACUAUAUGUGAAUGGAACACAAAGCAACUGGAAAAUUCCACCAUGACUGACUUGAGGGCUCAGCAGCUAUUCAUCACUGAUCAAGUAGGUUUAGACAGCAACACUGAAUUGGGUAAAAAUUGACUCCCAGACUUCACAGGGAUCUUCAGUAGAGAUACUGUGUGGAAAUGCAAGUAAGUAGGUAACAUCUGGGUGAGUUUGCUGAAAUGAGGAGAAACCUAUAGCAAAAGAGUAAAAUGUUUGUGCCAUAUUAGUUUAUCAUGAGUUAAAAGCCAAUCCUAAGGGAGACUGUCAACUAGCUAAUAAGCCUUUUAUAUACAUGUAAUAUAUUUUGGCAAAAAAUGUUCUUUUUUGCUUAUUGGAAAUUUUUGUUUGUUUAAAACUAAGAGCAUUUGGAUAUUUUGAAUCUAAAGCAUAGUAAAGUGAUUAUUAUAUCCUACCAGAUACUCUUUUGAUGUUGAUAUAGAUACUUUGCUUUUAUAUUCAGUAAUAUUUUAUCACAGUUAAAAGAUUUCAUCAUAACUCUAGUGUGUUUUAGUGAUUCAGCUCAGCUCAGUCUUGAUUUUAGCUAGAAACCCAGGUGAAUCUCCAUUUUCCUGUUUUCAGAUGUAAUGUUUAACCAUAACAGAAGCUGAUUUUUAAACCAGUAACUUCUUCACCUUCCCAUCCCCACUUCUUUUUAUUAAAUUUUAAAGAUGUAACCUGGUUUUGUUGUAUACUUAAGUCAGGAGUCCUUUCUCCAUUCUGUACACAGUUACUGGUUUUUUGAGUGAUGUAUAUACAAGUCGAUUAAACUUCUUACAGCAUAAAGAGAGAAAGUUAAAACUUAAUUUGGAGGGCAUACUCGUAGACCUUGCCUGACUGUGCUCAUGGCCAGGCAGGGGGGACAGUGUAUGCAAGAAUAAUUUGGAGUUCCUGCCAGCUCUAACCAGCUUCAUCAGUGGCUGGAUAAAUUGCAGGACUCUUAACAUAUCCC
Molecule: long non-coding RNA, 3973 nt
Organism: Sapajus apella (tufted capuchin)
Lineage: Eukaryota; Metazoa; Chordata; Mammalia; Primates; Cebidae
Exons: 2
Source: RefSeq, a predicted model, not a curated record